This 69-nucleotide transfer RNA is filed under the name Cleroidea sp. 5 KM-2017. RNAcentral's name for it is "tRNA-Gln". Lineage: Eukaryota; Metazoa; Arthropoda; Insecta; Coleoptera. The record is from RNAcentral.
UACAUUUUAGUAUACGUUGUAUAAGAGUUUUUGAUACUCUAGGGGAUAGUUAGAUUCUAUCAAAUGUAA